Molecule: Y RNA, 95 nt
Filed under: Carlito syrichta (Philippine tarsier)
Lineage: Eukaryota; Metazoa; Chordata; Mammalia; Primates; Tarsiidae
Description: Y RNA (ENSTSYG00000032684.1)
Rfam family: Y RNA
About the family: Y RNAs are components of the Ro ribonucleoprotein particle (Ro RNP), in association with Ro60 and La proteins.
Source: Rfam by way of RNAcentral
GGCUGCUCUGAGUGCAGUGCUGUUUGCAAUGAACUGAUCACAACCAGUUACAGUUUUCUUUGUUCCUUUUCCACUCUUCACUUGAGUAGCCUUUG